ACGGAAGGCAGCAGUAGGGAAUCUUGCGCAAUGGGCGAAAGCCUGACGCAGCGACGCCGCGUGCGGGAAGAAGGCCUUCGGGUUGUAAACCGCUUUCAGGAGGGACGAAGCCACUCGGGUUAAUAGCCCAGAGGGUGACGGUACCUCCAGAAGAAGCCCCGGCUAACUACGUGCCAGCAGCCGCGGUAAUACGUAGGGGGCAAGCGUUGUCCGGAUUCAUUGGGCGUAAAGAGCGUGUAGGCGGCCAGGUAGGUCCGUUGUGAAAACUCGAGGCUCAACCUCGAGACGUCGAUGGAAACCAUCUGGCUAGAGUCCGGAAGAGGAGAGUGGAAUUCCUGGUGUAGCGGUGAAAUGCGCAGAUAUCAGGAAGAACACCUAUGGCGAAGGCAGCUCUCUGGGACGGUACUGACGCUGAGACGCGAAAGCGUGGGGAGCGAACAGGAUUAGAUACCCUGGUA
Molecule: ribosomal RNA, 458 nt
Filed under: uncultured Gaiellales bacterium
Lineage: Bacteria; Bacillati; Actinomycetota; Thermoleophilia; Gaiellales
Description: bacterial SSU rRNA
Rfam family: Bacterial small subunit ribosomal RNA
Source: RNAcentral